GACGAACGCUGGCGGCGUGCCUAAUACAUGCAAGUCGAGCGCAAAGAUCAGGAGCUUGCUCCUGUGAUUUGAGCGGCGGACGGGUGAGUAACACGUAGGCGACCUACCCUUGAGAUUGGGAUAACUACCGGAAACGGUAGCUAAUACCGGAUACGACCUUUCCACACAAGUGGAAUUGUUAAAAGGCGGAUUUAUCUGCCGCUCAUGGAUGGGCCUGCGGUGCAUUAGCUAGUUGGUGAGAUAGUAGCUCACCAAGGCGACGAUGCAUAGCCGACCUGAGAGGGUGAUCGGCCACACUGGGACUGAGACACGGCCCAGACUCCUACGGGAGGCAGCAGUAGGGAAUCUUCCGCAAUGGACGAAAGUCUGACGGAGCAACGCCGCGUGAGUGAUGAAGGGUUUCGGCUCGUAAAACUCUGUUGUUAAGGAAGAAUACUUGAGGUAGUAACUGGCCUUGAGAUGACGGUACUUAACCAGAAAGCCACGGCUAACUACGUGCCAGCAGCCGCCGUAA
This 514-nucleotide ribosomal RNA is filed under the name uncultured bacterium. RNAcentral describes it as "partial 16S ribosomal RNA". It matches the Rfam family "Bacterial small subunit ribosomal RNA", at positions 28 to 523 of the family's 1533-position model. The record is from RNAcentral.